This 1163-nucleotide ribosomal RNA is filed under the name Bacillus licheniformis. RNAcentral describes it as "bacterial LSU rRNA". It matches the Rfam family "Bacterial large subunit ribosomal RNA", at positions 322 to 1487 of the family's 2925-position model. Lineage: Bacteria; Bacillati; Bacillota; Bacilli; Caryophanales; Bacillaceae. The record is from RNAcentral.
GAACGAGGUAGAUGAAGAGGUCUGGAAAGGCCCGCCAUAGGAGGUAACAGCCCUGUAGUCAAAACUUCGUUCUCUCCUGAGUGGAUCCUGAGUACGGCGGAACACGUGAAAUUCCGUCGGAAUCCGGGAGGACCAUCUCCCAAGGCUAAAUACUCCCUAGUGACCGAUAGUGAACCAGUACCGUGAGGGAAAGGUGAAAAGCACCCCGGAAGGGGAGUGAAAGAGAUCCUGAAACCGUGUGCCUACAAGUAGUCAGAGCCCGUUAACGGGUGAUGGCGUGCCUUUUGUAGAAUGAACCGGCGAGUUACGAUCCCGUGCAAGGUUAAGUUUGAAAAGACGGAGCCGCAGCGAAAGCGAGUCUGAAUAGGGCGCAUGAGUACGUGGUCGUAGACCCGAAACCAGGUGAUCUACCCAUGUCCAGGGUGAAGUUCAGGUAACACUGAAUGGAGGCCCGAACCCACGCACGUUGAAAAGUGCGGGGAUGAGGUGUGGGUAGGGGUGAAAUGCCAAUCGAACCUGGAGAUAGCUGGUUCUCUCCGAAAUAGCUUUAGGGCUAGCCUCAAGGUAAGAGUCUUGGAGGUAGAGCACUGAUUGGACUAGGGGCCCCUACCGGGUUACCGAAUUCAGUCAAACUCCGAAUGCCAAAGACUUAUCCUUGGGAGUCAGACUGCGAGUGAUAAGAUCCGUAGUCGAAAGGGAAACAGCCCAGACCGCCAGCUAAGGUCCCAAAGUAUACGUUAAGUGGAAAAGGAUGUGGAGUUGCUUAGACAACCAGGAUGUUGGCUUAGAAGCAGCCACCAUUUAAAGAGUGCGUAAUAGCUCACUGGUCGAGUGACUCUGCGCCGAAAAUGUACCGGGGCUAAACGUAUCACCGAAGCUGCGGACUGUUCUUGCGAACAGUGGUAGGAGAGCGUUCUAAGGGCUGUGAAGCGAGACCGGAAGGACUCGUGGAGCGCUUAGAAGUGAGAAUGCCGGUAUGAGUAGCGAAAGAGGGGUGAGAAUCCCCUCCACCGAAUGCCUAAGGUUUCCUGAGGAAGGCUCGUCCGCUCAGGGUUAGUCGGGACCUAAGCCGAGGCCGAAAGGCGUAGGCGAUGGACAACAGGUUGAUAUUCCUGUACCACCUCCUCACCAUUUGAGCAAUGGGGGGACGCAGGAGGAUAGGG